UGUUCAUCUAACUCCGAUUGACUCCGCAGGUGCCAAAAUCCCUCCUCCUCCAGUCCUCCCCAGACUCUGUUCGCCUUCCCUCGCCGCGAAAAUCCCUCCUCCUCCCCACUAAUCUGCCGUCCCGAAUUAAUUGCCAUCAAAAGACCUGAUAAAUCCGAGCAUUGAAGGACCGGAAACUGCUCAAUGGAGAUCAUACGCCGCAACCACCUUAUAAAUACGCCCCGCUGCCGUACGCAUCGACACCAAGCACGGCAGCGUUCUCGCCGCCACAACGAGAAGCGCCCUGAACGCUGAUUCAUCUCUUGCUGGAGUACUAAAGCGAGAACCAACUUAGCCGCCGCCGCCUCCAUGUUUAUGAAAAGGUUACGGAUAAUCGGUGCCCGUCUGCUCGCGACGCCAACUCUCCCGCUGACGUCCACUUUUGUACAGAUCCGCUCCUGAUUUUCCACUUCCCUUUCAAUUUUUUAGUAUCCCGUUUGUCUAUAUGCUAGGCAGCAUGUGCUCCGGGCCUCCGGCUCACAAACCUGCCUGAUGUUUGCCUCCCCCGAUUUGGUUGGAUUUUUAUUGGAAUGUCCUUCCUGAUAACUCAAGCCCACACGGAUUUAACUGGAUUUCUACUGGAUUGAGCAUACUGGUCGAUCAAGUAAGGAGGAACAUUUCUUUGCGAUUUAUCUAUUCAUCUUCUUCCUGAUUUUAUCUGCGGCAAGAGGUAAAACUGUAGAUGCGCGAGAUUCUAAUAGAAAGCAUCCCAACAGCCGGGCAAGAAUCUGAUGAAGGUCCAGCAUACCUUUGUGCCUCUGGUACAUAUUACUCCCGUGUGAAACAAUCCAUUCAAUCGCCAUCCACCAUCUUUGGACGCCCUGUUCUUAUAGCCACUGAGCCAACACUGGAGGGUGCAACGGCGUCGUUUGAAGAAAUGCCCGUGAAAACUGCCAAGCAAACGUAUAGCUGAUUGGUGGGUACUAUGUAUAGAGUUAUGCAAGAUUGAUUAUGUUUUUCUUUCCGCAUUUUUAUUAAUCUUUGCCACGAAAUUAUCGGUACAUACUCCCAGUGGUGUUCUGUAAUGUACAAUUAAUCUGAUUUUUUGUGUAUGUGAUCAGCUGCUUUGAUCACGGCUGUAUGCUCCGAUGGCGCUCUGUAGUUGCACUUUAUUC
This is a long non-coding RNA of Lolium rigidum, 1154 nucleotides long. RefSeq lists it as uncharacterized. Lineage: Eukaryota; Viridiplantae; Streptophyta; Magnoliopsida; Poales; Poaceae. The record is from RefSeq and is a predicted model, not a curated record. The transcript has 3 exons.